RNAcentral lists this ribosomal RNA (1699 nucleotides) under Proteus mirabilis. RNAcentral describes it as "partial 23S ribosomal RNA". It matches the Rfam family "Bacterial large subunit ribosomal RNA", at positions 1223 to 2900 of the family's 2925-position model. Lineage: Bacteria; Pseudomonadati; Pseudomonadota; Gammaproteobacteria; Enterobacterales; Morganellaceae. The record is from RNAcentral.
GUUGGGUAGGGGAGCGUUCUGUAAGCCUGCGAAGGUGUACUGUGAGGUAUGCUGGAGGUAUCAGAAGUGCGAAUGCUGACAUAAGUAACGAUAAUGCGGGUGAAAAACCCGCACGCCGGAAGACCAAGGGUUCCUGUCCAACGUUAAUCGGGGCAGGGUGAGUCGACCCCUAAGGCGAGGCUGAAAAGCGUAGUCGAUGGGAAACGGGUUAAUAUUCCCGUACUGGUGGUAACUGCGAUGGGGGAACGGAGAAGGCUAGGUUGUCCGGGCGACGGUCGUCCCGGUUCAAGCAGGUAGGCAGAGUGAUUAGGCAAAUCCGGUCACUUAAUGCUGAGAUGUGAUGACGAACCACUAAGGUGGUGAAGCAAUUGAUGCCCCGCUUCCAGGAAAAGCCUCUAAGCUUCAGGUUACCAACAAUCGUACCCCAAACCGACACAGGUGGUCAGGUAGAGAAUACUCAGGCGCUUGAGAGAACUCGGGUGAAGGAACUAGGCAAAAUGGUGCCGUAACUUCGGGAGAAGGCACGCUGGCGGUAGGUAAAGUCCCUCGCGGACGGCGCUGAAGCCAGUCGAAGAUACCAGCUGGCUGCAACUGUUUAUUAAAAACACAGCACUGUGCAAACACGAAAGUGGACGUAUACGGUGUGACGCCUGCCCGGUGCUGGAAGGUUAAUUGAUGGGGUUAGCCGUAAGGCGAAGCUCCUGAUCGAAGCCCCAGUAAACGGCGGCCGUAACUAUAACGGUCCUAAGGUAGCGAAAUUCCUUGUCGGGUAAGUUCCGACCUGCACGAAUGGCGUAAUGAUGGCCAGGCUGUCUCCACCCGAGACUCAGUGAAAUUGAACUCGCUGUGAAGAUGCAGUGUACCCGCGGCAAGACGGAAAGACCCCGUGAACCUUUACUAUAGCUUGACACUGAACAUUGAGCCUUGAUGUGUAGGAUAGGUGGGAGGCUUUGAAGUGUGGACGCCAGUCUGCAUGGAGCCAACCUUGAAAUACCACCCUUUAACGUUUGAUGUUCUAACCUAGGCCCAUAAACUGGGUCGGGGACCGUGUCUGGUGGGUAGUUUGACUGGGGCGGUCUCCUCCUAAAGAGUAACGGAGGAGCACGAAGGUUGGCUAAGCAUGGUCGGACAUCAUGCGGUUAGUGCAAAGGCAUAAGCCAGCUUGACUGCGAGAGUGACGGCUCGAGCAGGUACGAAAGUAGGUCUUAGUGAUCCGGUGGUUCUGAAUGGAAGGGCCAUCGCUCAACGGAUAAAAGGUACUCCGGGGAUAACAGGCUGAUACCGCCCAAGAGUUCAUAUCGACGGCGGUGUUUGGCACCUCGAUGUCGGCUCAUCACAUCCUGGGGCUGAAGUAGGUCCCAAGGGUAUGGCUGUUCGCCAUUUAAAGUGGUACGCGAGCUGGGUUUAGAACGUCGUGAGACAGUUCGGUCCCUAUCUGCCGUGGGCGUUGGAAGAUUGAGAGGGGUUGCUCCUAGUACGAGAGGACCGGAGUGAACGCACCACUGGUGUUCGGGUUGUCAUGCCAAUGGCAUUGCCCGGUAGCUAAGUGCGGAAGAGAUAACCGCUGAAAGCAUCUAAGCGGGAAACUUGCCUCGAGAUGAGUCUUCCCUGUCGCUUUAAGCGACCUAAAGGAACGUUUAAGACUAAGACGUUGAUAGGCUGGGUGUGUAAGCGUAGCGAUACGUUGAGCUAACCAGUA